GAAAAGAAAAUAUCAUCUUUUCUUCAUCUUCUCUCCACCGAAAAAUGGCAGUAAAGAAAGGGUUUAGAAGCUGGAAACUUUCAGCAAAGAAACUCCCUUUAUAAGUUUCCAGGUUAGCUCGGGUUGGAGGCCGUCAGAGAUAUUAUCACACUGUCGAGUUAACGCUAUCGGCGUAAGUAAACUCAAGUGAUUCUAGUCUAUGGCAUGUAUAGGGUUUUAAUGUGAGUAUGUAAUAUUAUGAUUUAGCCAAAGGCAUUGGCUUGUUAUUAAGGUAGUAUUAGUCAUGUAAAUUGGCCUAUGUCGGCUAAUAUCGUUAUGGGCCCAUAUGAUUAUUCUUAUGCAUGUAUGUUAUUAUCUCUUGUGAUGUGGCUUACAACAUGUAUGCCUAGAGAUUGAAUUGAGAUUCAUUGAUGAGCUAAUAA
Long non-coding RNA from Gossypium arboreum, 422 nucleotides. RefSeq lists it as uncharacterized. The record is from RefSeq and is a predicted model, not a curated record. NCBI's taxonomy places the organism in Eukaryota, Viridiplantae, Streptophyta, Magnoliopsida, Malvales, Malvaceae. The transcript is spliced from 3 exons.